GGCUAGGCGCGCACGGGCUCUGCGCCUGCGCGCUAGUCCUUACGCGGUGCCAGAGACUAUAAGUGGGCUUGAGCUCGACCGCGCGCCUGUGGAAGUUCUUUCUCUACUCGAAAAAGGGAAAGCAUUUCCUUGAGUUUGCGUUUUAAGGGAAACUUACAGCAUUGACACUUUAUUUAAAAUAUUCACUACUGCUGUAGAAAAAAAAAAACAAAACCCCGAAAAACAGUGGGGCUGUUUCUAAGACGCUGGGAAUCAGUAAAGAAUAGUGAUCCGGGAGAUACAGGAAGCAAAUGAUCUGCGCUCAAAAAGCGAGCUGCUUUCAAAGAUAUUAGUAUUUUAUAGAUGCGAUGCAGGAGAGUGAACUCAAGCAGAGCCCAGCCGAUUGCCUGCGUUGGCAAAAUAGAACAGAUAUUCUGGGGAGACCAAGCAAACAGCUUUCAAAAAUGAAGACUAACUAGGCUGGAUGCAGUGGCUCACACCUAUAAUCCCAGCACUUUGGAAGGCCGAGGUGGGCAGAUCACGAGGUCAGGAGAUCAAGACCAUCCUGGCUAACACAGUGAAAUCCCCCGUCUCCACUAGAAAUACAAAAAUUAGCCAGGCGUGGUGGCGGGCACCUGUAGUCCCAGCUACUCGGGAGGCUGAGGCGGGAGAAUGGCAUGAGCCUGGGAGGUGGAGGUUGCAGUGAGCCAAGAUCGUGCCACUGCACUCCAGCCUGGGUGACAGAGCAAGACUGUCUCAAAAAAUAAAUAAAAAUAAAAAAGAAGGCUAACUAAAGACAUUCUUAAACACACAAAAAUGGAAGGAAAUUUUCAGCAUAAGAUCCCACAUGAAACAAGAAGUUCUUCAGGCAGAAUGAAAAUGGCAUUAGCUUCAAAUCUGAAUGUAUACAAAGGAGUGAAAUGUGGUCCUGGCUACUUAGGAGUCUGAGGUGGGAAGAUCACUUGAGCCCAGUUCAAAGCUGUGAUGAGUUGGUCAUGCCAUUGCACUUCAGCCUGGGUAACAAAGUGAGACCCUAUCUUUAAAGGAAAAAAAAUUGUGAUGUGGGUUUUAUAACAUAUGUAAAAGUAAAAUGUAGCACAAAGUGUGGGAGAGAAGAAAUAAAAGUAAAUUUAUAUGCUUGUAUAGUUUCUCUGAAGUUUUGUUAUCAGUUGAAGGUGAACUGAUGAGUUAAAACUGUGUUCUAGACUCUCUGAAGCAAUAGUGCCAACACACUUUAGAAGGGCUACCAGUGAGUCAUUUCCUUGUGUGAUUUCUUUCUUUCUAGUGCAGAUAGAAAUUGUGACCAAUAGAAUACAAUAAAGGUGAUGGGAUGUCAUUCUAUUGAUUAGGUUGCUUGUUAGGCAGAGGGGAUAGCAUGCCACUCUCAUGCCUCCAUUUCCAUGUAUAGCAGAAGCUUAGCAGACUGCACAAAAAAAAGAGGGAUUCUCCUUCUGGCCUGGAAGAAGCAUACAACCAUGUUGUAAGUUGCCUGUGGUAGUUAUCACAUGGCAAGGAACUCUGAGUGGCCUUUAGGACCUGUAAAUAGACCUGAGCUGAUAGCCAAUGAAUAGAUGGGGCCCUCAGUCAAACAGCCCUGAGGGGAUUAAGUUUCUACAAAUAAUCAAAUAAAAAAUAACGCUACUCAGUUAACAUCGUGAUUGAAAACUUGUGAGACCUUGAGCAGAAUGCAAAACCUUGACCCAGUGAAACUGUCUUAAAAUCUUGACUUGUAGAAACUGUGAGAUAAUAAAUGUGUUUUUUUAAGAUUCUAAAUUGUGAUAAUUUGUUACAUAGCAAUAGAAAACUAUUAUAAACUUCUAAAACAAAGAAUUGUAGGUAACAAAUCAAUAAAGGAGAUAAAAUAUAAACAACUAAUCCAAAAGAAGGCAGAAAAAGUGAAGACGAACAAAGAAAAAAAUGAAGAGAAUAAAAAACAAAUAGCAAAAUGAUAGGUAUAAGCCUAAGCAUAUGUGUUAUCACCGUUAAAUGUAAAUACCUUAAAUAUACCAUUAAAAGGGAGAGAUUAUUAGAUUGGAUACCACAGCAAAAUUACGUUAAGUACACUAAAUAUAAAGAAAUAAAAGGAUGGAAAAAUACCAUGCUAAUAUUAAUCAGAUGAAAGCUGAAGUGGCUAUUUUAGGGCAUAUAUAUACACACACACACACACAC
RNAcentral lists this long non-coding RNA (2148 nucleotides) under Homo sapiens (human). Its description in RNAcentral is "HSALNT0162995". Lineage: Eukaryota; Metazoa; Chordata; Mammalia; Primates; Hominidae. The record is from RNAcentral.